RNAcentral lists this long non-coding RNA (4789 nucleotides) under Nicotiana benthamiana. Its description in RNAcentral is "long non-coding RNA (NBEN_LNC021216)". The record is from RNAcentral. Lineage: Eukaryota; Viridiplantae; Streptophyta; Magnoliopsida; Solanales; Solanaceae.
GCUGUGGUUUGAAAUUACUAGGGUUCUCUAUAAAUCGUAAGUGCAUGCCUUAUUAUACUUAUCUUUUGGGAAGAAGUCUACUGCCAUUUGAAAAUCUUUUUCUAAACAAUAUGAUAAUUUUAUCUCUGCUAUUUUUCAAUGUCAGCCAUACCUAAAGUAUUUUGAGUAAGACAUGUGUUACAUGAGUUUUCUUCAAGUUCGUUAUAUAGAAUCUAAUUCUCUUUAAAUUGCAAAAGCUUAUGACUUUCAGUAAGUUACUUGAAACGAACUAAAAUGUUUAAUGACUUUUGUUAAGGAUAUCUUACUCUUUCAGGGAUGUUUUACAUAUAAUUAUUGUGUUUUUAUGUGCAAUUAUAUAACUAAUUAUUGGACUUUGUAUUCUUUAUUGUUAUUUGUGAUAUUAUUGUUUCUAAAACAUUUGGAUAAAUUUAUCUCUUCUUUUUGUAUGCUUCUUUUCCUACUUAUCUUGGAAAGUGUGCUUUGUCUAAUUGUAACGGCAAAACAGAAAAAAAUUCAAUUGUUAUGGACAAUCAUAUGAAUAGAAAAUGGAUAAAUUGUGAUAGAGUUAGUUAAGAAUAUUUAGAUGGUCUAGAGAAUUUUCUAAACAAUGGUUUUCAUGACAAACAUGAUGGAGAAAUAAUUUCAUGCCCUUAUAUGAAAUUAUGCUACGCUAUGAAGUAAAUUGAGCGACAACAUAUGAUCAUCUUGUGAUUAAUAAUAUUAUACCAUCAUACGAUACUUGGAUUUUUCAUUGGGAGUCUCUCUGUAUAUCAAAUAACACUAAAGAGAAUAUUGAUUAUAGACAAGAAUCUUUCAGGGGUAAUAAUAUGAGAGGAAUGAUACAUGAUACUUCUGAAGAUUUUACUGAAUUCAUAGAUAAUAACAUUAGAGAAAGAGGAGUGGUAGAGCCAAACUUUGAAGAAAAUACUCAUCAUCCAUAAAUAAAUCAAUCACAUCGAGAGGUGGAUAAGCUUGAAUGGCUAAUGAAAGAUGCAAAUAAACCACUAUACCCUGGAUGCAAGAAAUUUAGUAAACUUUCAUUUUUGCUACAUAUUUUGUCAAAUAAAAUGGUCAUUCAAAUGGACAAAUGAAUCUUUUAGUUCUUUGCUUGGUCUUUUGAAGGACGUGUUACCUGAGGGAGAUAAGCUACCUCCUUCUUUUUAUGAUACCAAAAAAAUAGUUGAAAGCUUGGAUUUAAAGUAUAAAAAAGUUCAUCGAUGUCCAAAUAAUUGCAUGAUUUUUAGGAAUGAAUUUGUUGAUAACAAUGUCAAUAAAUGCUUAAAUUGUGGGGCUUCAAGAUGGAAAAACAAAAACGAAAAAAAAUUCCGGCGUAGGUCCUAAGGUACUUUCCUCAUAAACCAAGACGGUAAAAAUUGUUUGUCUUCAAAAAUAUCUAAAUUAAUGUAAUGAUAUCAUGAAGAACGUACGAAAGAUGGAAUUCUACGGCAUCCUGCAGAUUGUUAAGCUUGAAAAAUAUUUGACAAUAUUCAUCAAGAAUUUUGCUAAAUAUUCUCGCAAUAUUCGUCUACGGUUACCUAGUAAUGGGUUUAAUCCCUUUGAUACAAUGCAAACUAUGCAUAGUACAUGACCGGUGAUAUUGAUGCCCUAUAAUCUUCCACCAUGGUUGUACAUGAAGCAAGAGUUUUUCAUUCUAUCCUUGCUUUUCCCUGGACCCAAAGCACCUGGAAAUAAUAUUCAUAUCUUUUUAGAAUCACAAUUAGACGAGUUGAGUGAGUUAUGAGAUGCGGGGAAGAAACGUAUGAUGCCAUUGCUAAGGAGGUAUUUCAAAUGCGAGCGACUCUCAUGUGGACAAUAAACGAUGUUUUAGCAUACGGUAAUCUAUCUGGAUGAUGCACUUGUGGUCAAUUUGCAUAACCUUCUUGCAACAUAAAUACUCAAUUAGAAGGCUGAAGCAUGGAAUCAAAUUCUGUUACACGGGCCAUCGACGGUUUUAAAAGCCGAACCACAAAUAUCGAAAUGAUACUAAAUCAUUUGAUGGGACUAAAGAAUCAUAACCUGCACCUUGUUCGAUAUUUGGGUCACUAGCUCUAAAUCAAGUUAAAGACACAAAAUUUAUUCUCGGUCAGAUGAGUGAAAAGAUAAGUUUAACGACCCGAGUGGUCGUUUUGCAUUUUUGAACCUCAUUCCCUUGAACAAAACUUCCCACACUUACAUUAGCUAAUUUAUAACUUGUGGGGAUGGUUUGUGAGAGAGUUGGAGGAGUUUUGAGUAAAAAUAUGUCGAGUUGUUUCUUUAAGAUUCUCUUAAAAGAUUAAGUUUGACUUCGGUUAACUUUUUUGGAAAAUGGACACAAAUUCAUUGUUUGACGGUCCUGGAAGGUUUGUGGAAAAAUAUGGGACCUAGGCGUAUGCUCGGAAUCGAAUUCCGAGUUCCCUAGCCUGAGUUAUGAUUUUUUUUUAAAAAAAUUGUUAAAUUGAAAUCCUAAGAGUUUAAUAAAGACGAAAAAUGCUUGAUCAUAUUGAUAUUGGGACCAUAUGUUGGUUCCGGGGCUCGAUAAAGGUUAAGUAUAAUAUUUUAGUCUUGUUAGUGAGAUUUUGUGAGAACGGGACUGAUUUGACGUGAUUCGGACGUUCGGUUGAAAAGAUAGGAAUUUGGGUGUUCUUGAGGAUUUUAUGCAUUUUGGUGUUAAAUCCAUGGUUUUAGGUGUUAAAUAGGCGAUUUGAUUGCUUGAGCAAGUUUGCAAAUUUUUGUAGGACUUGCGUGAAUGUUCAGAGUAGAGCCCUGAGGGCUCGGGUGAGAUUCAGGCAUGGUAGGAGGUAAGAAAAUACAACAUUUUUAGCUGGUUAUUUUGCUGUUGUUGGUGGUUACGCAAUUGCGAGAUGGCCAUCGCAAUUACAAGAAAUUCUUUGCAUUUGUGAUAUUGGCUGGGAUGGACAGUGUUCGCAUUUGCAAACCACUUUUUAGCAUUUGCAAAAACAAUAUGGUUUGCAUUUGCGACCCAUGCAUCGCAUUUGCGAUCGAGGUAGGCUAGGGCUCAGUUCGCAUUUGCGAACCUUUGGUUGCAAUUGUGACCUCGCAUUUGCAAGCAUGGUGUCGCAAAUGCCAUAUCAAAGGACUAGUCAGGGCAUUUUAAAAACGGGACUUAGAGCAUUUAUUUCAUUCCUACUCAACACUUAGGCGAUUUGGGAGCCUUUAAAGAGGGGAUUUCAACGUAGCAUUGUCUGGUAAGUAAUUUCUAUUCUUCUUUAGUUUAAAUACAUGAAUAUUAGGUAGAUUCAACACCAAAAAAUUAGGUAAAAUCAAAGGGUUAGAGCUAGACAUAGAGUUUUAAUAAAACUGAGAUUUAACCACGAAAUUUAUUAUGAAAUGAACUAGAAUUCACAUAUUAUUUAUCUUUAGGCUAUAGAGAAUAACUUUUUUCGGAAAAUCUCGGAAUCAAGGCACGUGGGCCUGGGGUCGGAAUUUAGGAAACUUGUGGAAAAGGUAGGAAAUCACUUAAAUUGUUUAAAUUCGACAUUGUAAGCAUUUAUUGAAUAGUUCUUACUUUAUUUAACUAGUUUGUGAUCGUUCGGCUCCGAAUUAAGGGCUUGGGCUUGUUCUUGAUAUUAGAAGUGCGCUGUAGAGCGGUGUGAGUCUCAUUUCUAACCUUGUAAGAGGGAAUUCUCCCCAUAGGAUUAAUAAUUGAGUAACUGUUGCUAAAUGAUGGGGCUACGCACACGCUAGGCCCGUGCGUAGCUUCUACUAUGUUAAUUAUCCGGGUAUAGGACACACACCAUGCUUAUUUUAUAUAAACCUCUAUAUUAUCAUGUUAAUACAAGCACCUAGGGUAUGCUAAAGACAUAAAAAGGGAAUAUGAACGUACUUGUAUAAUUGUUGAAGUCUUGCUUGGUAUUAAUGACUAUCAAUGUGCCUUGUGUGCAUACUUGGCAUUUCUUAUUAUUUUUUGAUCGGGCCGAAUGCCUCGGUAUGAAUAGAUGCAUCUAUAGGCAUGUCGUCGACCCUCGGCAAGUGCACAGUUUAUUCGUGUCAGAUCAGGCCGUCGCCUUGGCAUAUUUGCGCAUGCUAUUGUUGCUUGGAUGACAGUAUUUUUUUUAUACUGUUAUUGCUUUUCAUGGCCUAACGUAAAUUGAUAUAUAUAACAAAAGUAAAUAGUUACCUGUAGACGUAGUGGAGAGCAGGACUAUUAGGUCUUCUUACAAACUGCUGCUUAUUAGUGAUUCUUGAUGGUUUGUAUAAUUACUUUGAUAUGGCCGUCGCCUUGGCAUAUUUGCGCAUGCUAUUGUUGCUUGGAUGACAGUAUUUUUUUGAUACUGUUAUUGCUUUUCAUGGCCAAACGUAAAUUGAUAUAUAUCACAAAAGUAAAUAGUUACUUGUAGAUGUAGUGGAGAGCAGGACUAUUAGGUCUUCUUAUAAACUGCUGCUUAUUAGUGAUUCUUGAUGGUUUGUAUAAUUACUUUGAUAUGUUAUUCAAACCUAGUGAGUAUUAAGUCGAUCUCUCGUCUCUACUUCUCCGAGAUUAGACGAGAUACUCACUGGGUACAUAUUGUUUAUGUACUCAUAAUACACUUCUGUACUUAAUUGUACAGGACCUGAGGCAGAUACAUCUGGAUACCAGCCUGGUGAGCACCCUUGAGUUUGUGGCAGAGACUUCCACGGUGAGCUGCUUUCUUCCUAUGCUGCCCAGCAGCCGGAUGGAGUCUUCCUUUACUUUUGCUGUCUUUCUUUAUCUCAUACAGUAGGAUAAAAAUAUUCUUUUUUCUAUAUUCUACUAGCUACUUGUAGCUUGUAACACCAUGUUCUGACACACACUUUGGUAGGCUAGUUUUGG